UUUUAAUUAAUUUGAAUUUUCUGAGCUAAUUAUUUGCAUUAUUAUUUGCAGGGAAAAUUUUGGAAACACAAUUUGGGACAUUUGGAGGAGACAAAAUAAAGUCAAGACUCUUCACAUGGACAUUUCAAAUUUAAUUACUUUGAAACUUAGUAGUCUAGAUAGUUUUAAUUAUAUUUGUAAACAAUGGGCCAAUUUUUGGUAAAAUAGUUUAGGCCCAAAAUGUUAGAAUAGGACACAUGCACCUUAGGGUUUUUAGAGGUGGACCCCACCUAUUUUUGGGGGUGACACUUGGUCCUAAGAAUAGAGGGGAGCCGUCACUUUUUGCAUUGCUAGACUUGGUAUUUUUCUUUUGGCUGGCUCUGUAACGUUUCUUGGGGGAUGAAUGAAGAAUCAAUGGUUUAAUUUUUAUUUUAGUGCACACGUUAUUGGAAGGAAGAAAAUGCUUCUCUUAAUUUUCCAUUUCCAUUGAGAUUGUAUUGUGCAUUUGCCGAGACAAGCACUGUCCUGCAAUGGUUCACUUCUUUUUUUUAUUUGCUACCAAUGUUGAUUGAUGGGAAACAUUUUACUUGGAGUGUGCUCACGGUUACAGCAUUUGAAAGUCAAGCUUAAAUUUCUUCUCUGCACUCAAUAUGUGUUGAUUCUCGUGGAUAGAAUUAGAGAAUUUUGGUGAUUGAGCUGGACGCUGUCACGUCCUGGAUUUUGGGAAGCACCAUUUAAUUACUUUCUUGAUUACCCAUUAGGUUCUGUUGCAAAGUUGAC
RNAcentral lists this long non-coding RNA (759 nucleotides) under Vigna radiata. RNAcentral's name for it is "long non-coding RNA (VRAD_LNC013357)". Lineage: Eukaryota; Viridiplantae; Streptophyta; Magnoliopsida; Fabales; Fabaceae. The record is from RNAcentral.